UCUUUGGGUGCAUGCAAGUGUUGCCCAGAGUAUACAAACACAAACAAUUUUGCAAUGAAUUUUAGUCAAUUGUGCUUAUUUAUUUAAGCAAAAAAAACAAAUAUUCAAAACUUUCAACAACGGAUCUCUUGGUUCUCGCAUCGAUGAAGAACGCAGC
RNAcentral lists this ribosomal RNA (157 nucleotides) under Jamesozyma hellenica. RNAcentral's name for it is "Kazachstania hellenica 5.8S ribosomal RNA". The stretch from base 109 to 157 matches the Rfam family "5.8S ribosomal RNA", at positions 1 to 49 of the family's 154-position model. Lineage: Eukaryota; Fungi; Ascomycota; Saccharomycetes; Saccharomycetales; Saccharomycetaceae. The record is from RNAcentral.